Pelobates cultripes (western spadefoot toad) is the source of this 337-nucleotide non-coding RNA. Lineage: Eukaryota; Metazoa; Chordata; Amphibia; Anura; Pelobatidae. The record is from the annotation of a GenBank genome assembly.
GAGGGCUCACUAAAGCUAAGAUGAUGCGAAAAAAAAUCUCCAAUAAAGCUAUUUAUAUAUUAAUAUCCAUUUUAAUUUUUACAAACAUUCUGUGCAUUAUCACAGAUAGGGCCUAUGCGCUAAACAAACCCACUGUCACACUGUCACAGGCCCACUCUCACACUGUCUGUCACAGACCCACUCUCACACUGUCACACGCCCACUCUCACACUGUCUGUCACAGACCCACUCUCACACUGUCACACGCCCACUCUCACACUGUCUGUCACAGACCCACUCUCACACUGUCACAGCCCCACUCUCACCCUGUCACAGACCUAUUCUCACACUGUCACAG